This 531-nucleotide long non-coding RNA is filed under the name Homo sapiens (human). Its description in RNAcentral is "long intergenic non-protein coding RNA 2756". Lineage: Eukaryota; Metazoa; Chordata; Mammalia; Primates; Hominidae. The record is from RNAcentral.
UACAAAGUUACACAAGAAGAAUUGGCCCUUGACCAGCCUGAUUGGUUGCAGGAGGGGACCAAUCAGAGGUACCUCCCAUUUUUCAUCUGCAGCCCAAUGCAAAGUAAUGACAUGGAUCUGGAGAGAUUCUCUUAGGAGAGAAUCUGGCUAAGUGUCUAGCAGGAUGAUUGAUUAACAAGAUGUUUUGUUUUCAUCAUCUCAGAGAUAAGUACAACUAUUCUGUCAUCUAAUCUGCUAACUCCUACAUUAUCAAUACGCUGUAUUGAGGUAUAAUUGAUAUGCCAAAUAACUGGACACAUUCAACUUGUGCAAUUUGAUGAGUUUGGAGAUACACAUACAUCUGUGAAACCAUCACCAAAAUCAAGGAAAAAGAGUCUGAUUGACAUAACUUGUCAAGUGUUCGCCCCAGCUUCUAUCAACUAUGGGGAAGGAAGGGCCAGAAGAGGUGUAACCAUCAUGGCUACCAGGUUUCGAAAUAUUUACAUUACAUACUGCAUUUAUUAAAAUACAAAUUAAAUCUGCAAUAAAAAA